This 377-nucleotide ribosomal RNA is filed under the name Georgenia sp. SUB25. RNAcentral describes it as "bacterial SSU rRNA". It matches the Rfam family "Bacterial small subunit ribosomal RNA", at positions 135 to 518 of the family's 1533-position model. The record is from RNAcentral. Lineage: Bacteria; Bacillati; Actinomycetota; Actinomycetes; Allobogoriellales; Allobogoriellaceae.
ACUUCGGGAUAACCGCGAGAAAUCGUGGCUAAUACCGGAUAUGACGCUCCUCCGCAUGGUGGGGUGUGGAAAGACUGUGUCGGUUGGGGAUGGGCUCGCGGCCUAUCAGCUUGUUGGUGGGGUGAUGGCCUACCAAGGCGACGACGGGUAGCCGGCCUGAGAGGGUGACCGGCCACACUGGGACUGAGACACGGCCCAGACUCCUACGGGAGGCAGCAGUGGGGAAUAUUGCACAAUGGGCGCAAGCCUGAUGCAGCGACGCCGCGUGAGGGAUGACGGCCUUCGGGUUGUAAACCUCUUUCAGUAGGGAAGAAGCCUUUCGGGGUGACGGUACCUGGAAAAAGAAGCCGCCGGCUAAACUCCGUGCCAGCAGCCGC